This 649-nucleotide ribosomal RNA is filed under the name Candidatus Phytoplasma prunorum. RNAcentral's name for it is "bacterial SSU rRNA". It matches the Rfam family "Bacterial small subunit ribosomal RNA", at positions 186 to 830 of the family's 1533-position model. Lineage: Bacteria; Bacillati; Mycoplasmatota; Mollicutes; Acholeplasmatales; Acholeplasmataceae. The record is from RNAcentral.
AGAGCUCUCGAACUUUUAAAGACCCGCAAGGGUAUGCUGAGAGAUGGGCUUGCGGCACAUUAGUUAGUUGGUAAGGUAAUGGCUUACCAAGACUAUGAUGUGUAGCUGGACUGAGAGGUUGAACGGCCACAUUGGGACUGAGAUACGGCCCAAACUCCUACGGGAGGCAGCAGUAAGGAAUUUUCGGCAAUGGAGGAAACUCUGACCGAGCAACGCCGCGUGAACGAUGAAGUAUUUAGGUACGUAAAGUUCUUUUAUUAAAGAAGAAAAAAUGAUGGAAAAAUCAUUCUGACGGUAUUUAAUGAAUAAGCCCCGGCUAACUAUGUGCCAGCAGCUGCGGUAAUACAUGGGGGGCAAGCGUUAUCCGGAUUUAUUGGGCGUAAAGGGUGCGUAGGCGGUUAAAUAAGUCUAUGGUAUAAGUUCAACGCUUAACGUUGUGAUGCUAUAGAAACUGUUUGACUAGAGUUGGAUAGAGGCAAGUGGAAUUCCAUGUGUAGCGGUAAAAUGCGUAAAUAUAUGGAGGAACACCAGUAGCGAAGGCGGCUUGCUGGGUCUUAACUGACGCUGAGGCACGAAAGCGUGGGGAGCAAACAGGAUUAUAUACCCUGGUAGUCCACGCCGUAAACGAUGAGUACUAACUGUUGGGUGG